Molecule: long non-coding RNA, 516 nt
Filed under: Solanum tuberosum (potato)
Lineage: Eukaryota; Viridiplantae; Streptophyta; Magnoliopsida; Solanales; Solanaceae
Description: long non-coding RNA (STUB_LNC002285)
Source: RNAcentral
UUACAGUUCCCCUUACUGUAAUGUUUGAACCAACCGCACCAGAGGAGUUUCCCAGGACAACAGGUUUAUAUGACCCUUGUUGUAGUCUAGAUUCAGAUGAAGCCUGAGAAGUUACAGUUCCCCUUACUGUAAUGUUUGAACCAACCGCACCAGAAGAGUUUCCCAAGACAACAGGUUUAUAUGACCCAUGUUGUUGUCUAGAUUCAGAUGAAACCUGAGAAGUUACAGUUCCCCUUACUGUAAUGUUUGAACCAACCGCACCAGAGGAGUUUCCCAAGACAACAGGUUUAUAUGAUCCAUGGAGUUGUCUAGAUUCAGAUGAAGUCUGAGGAGUUAUCGGUCCCUGAGGUUUUUUCUUUGGAAAGUAACCGAGGAGCCCGCAGUGAUAAUCCCUGUCAAAGGAUGUGUGUUAAGUGAGGAAAUAUAUAUAAACAGCUGAUUAUGAAGAACUUAGAUCUGCCUUUCCCAUCUAAUCCCAUGGAAACAUAGAAAAUUGCAACUAAAAGCUGUUUAAAU